CUCAAAUUUGAAAUCUGGCUUUCGGGCCCGAGUUGUAAUUUGUAGAAGAUGCUUUGGGUGUGGCUCCGGUCUAAGUUCCUUGGAACAGGACGUCAUAGAGGGUGAGAAUCCCGUAUGUGACUGGCCGCCUUCGCCCGUGUAAAGCUCUUUCGACGAGUCGAGUUGUUUGGGAAUGCAGCUCAAAAUGGGUGGUAUAUUUCAUCUAAAGCUAAAUAUUGGCCAGAGACCGAUAGCGCACAAGUAGAGUGAUCGAAAGAUGAAAAGCACUUUGGAAAGAGAGUUAAACAGUACGUGAAAUUGUUGAAAGGGAAGCGCUUGCAACCAGACUUGCAGGCUGUUGAUCAUCCGGGGUUCUCCCCGGUGCACUCGGCAGUUUUCAGGCCAGCAUCGGUUUGAGUGGUGGGAUAAAGGCCUUGGGAAUGUGGCUCUCUUCGGGGAGUGUUAUAGCCCAAGGUGCAAUGCCGCCUACUUGGACCGAGGACCGCGCUUCGGCUAGGAUGCUGGCGUAAUGGUUGUAAGCGACCCGUCUUGAAACACGGACCAAGGAGUCUAACAUCUAUGCGAGUGUUUGGGUGUCAAACCCAUACGCGUAAUUAACGUGAACGGAGGUAAGAACCUUAAGGGUGCAUUAUCGACCGAUCCUGAUGUCUUCGGAUGGAUUUGAGUAAGAGCAUAGCUGUUGGGACCCGAAAGAUGGUGAACUAUGCCUGAAUAGGGUGAAGCCAGAGGAAACUCUGGUGGAGGCUCGCAGCGGUUCUGACGUGCAAAUCGAUCGUCAAAUUUGGGUAUA
RNAcentral lists this ribosomal RNA (790 nucleotides) under Arachnopeziza aurelia. RNAcentral's name for it is "LSU rRNA". It matches the Rfam family "Eukaryotic large subunit ribosomal RNA", at positions 108 to 919 of the family's 3401-position model. Lineage: Eukaryota; Fungi; Ascomycota; Leotiomycetes; Helotiales; Arachnopezizaceae. The record is from RNAcentral.